This 880-nucleotide ribosomal RNA is filed under the name uncultured bacterium. RNAcentral describes it as "bacterial SSU rRNA". It matches the Rfam family "Bacterial small subunit ribosomal RNA", at positions 8 to 934 of the family's 1533-position model. The record is from RNAcentral.
AGAGUUUGAUCAUGGCUCAGAACGAACGCUGGCGGCAGGCCUAACACAUGCAAGUCGAGCGCUACCUUCGGGUGGAGCGGCGGACGGGUUAGUAACGCGUGGGAACAUACCCUUUUCUACGGAAUAGCCUCGGGAAACUGAGAGUAAUACCGUAUAAGCCCUUCGGGGGAAAGAUUUAUCGGGAAAGGAUUGGCCCGCGUUAGAUUAGAUAGUUGGUGGGGUAAUGGCCUACCAAGUCUACGAUCUAUAGCUGGUUUUAGAGGAUGAUCAGCAACACUGGGACUGAGACACGGCCCAGACUCCUACGGGAGGCAGCAGUGGGGAAUCUUAGACAAUGGGCGAAAGCCUGAUCUAGCCAUGCCGCGUGAGUGAUGAAGGUCUUAGGAUCGUAAAGCUCUUUCGCUAGGGAUGAUAAUGACAGUACCUAGUAAAGAAGCCCCGGCUAACUCCGUGCCAGCAGCCGCGGUAAUACGGAGGGGGCUAGCGUUGUUCGGAAUUACUGGGCGUAAAGCGUACGUAGGCGGAUCAGAAAGUAUGGGGUGAAAUCCCAGGGCUUAACCCUGGAACUGCCUCAUAAACUCCUGGUCUUGAGUUCGAGAGAGGUGAGUGGAAUUGCGAGUGUAGAGGUGAAAUUCGUAGAUAUUCGCAGGAACACCAGUGGCGAAGGCGGCUCACUGGCUCGAUACUGACGCUGAGGUACGAAAGUGUGGGGAGCAAACAGGAUUAGAUACCCUGGUAGUCCACACCGUAAACGAUGAAUGCCAGUCGUCGGGCAGUAUACUGUUCGGUGACACACCUAACGGAUUAAGCAUUCCGCCUGGGGGAGUACGGUCGCAAGAUUAAAACUCAAGGAAUUUGACGGGGGCCCGCACAAGCGGUG